Camellia sinensis is the source of this 475-nucleotide non-coding RNA. Lineage: Eukaryota; Viridiplantae; Streptophyta; Magnoliopsida; Ericales; Theaceae. The record is from RefSeq and is a predicted model, not a curated record.
AGAAGAAAAAGGAGAGAGAGAGAGAGAGAGAGAGAGAGAGAGAGAGUGGUGCUGGAAAAAUGCAACUAAAGAACACAAGUAUGGAAGAAGAACAAGAAAACUAAGGGAAAUCACUUCUAAUUUCUGAAUUUGGAGUCUUAGGUCGCGCGCUAUCGUCUGUUCUACUCCUGGAGCUGUCUGUGAUCAAGCGUGUGACCAGGUCUAGAGCUUCUACCUAGACUCUGUUUUGUCAGCCAACCUAUGUGCCUCCCAUGGAGGUUCCGGAUAUGUCAAGUGGUUAUGGCUAUGUGCAUAAAGUUCAAGUUUUGUUUUCUUGUUUUGGUUUAACGAGUGUUCUUGUUUAUUCUGUAUUUAGGGAUAAGUCUCUUUUUGUCUAGCCUAUAUAUAUGAUGAUAUGUAAAUGUAUGUACAUAAAGUUUAAAAUUUUAUGUCUCAUAUAAAUCUGUACAGCUCAAUGGACGUUGUAUAUUUGUUA